GGCGGGCGCGCCGUAGCCUUCGUCGCGGCCGCCUCCGUACGCCGGAGCGGGGGCGUGGCGCCCGUAGUCACCCCCGCCGUACCCGGCCGGCGCGGGCGCGUGGCGCCCGUAGUCGUCCUCGCGCCCCCCACCGUAGGCCGGGGCGCGGCCGCCGUAGUCGUCCUCGCGCCCCCCACCGUAGGCCGGGGCGCGGCCGCCGUAGUCGUCCUCGCGCCCCCCACCGUAGGCCGGGGCGCGGCCGCCGUAGUCGUCCUCGCGGCCGCCACCGUAGGCGGGGGGCGGGGCGCCGUAGGCGACGUCGUCGGGGCGGCGGCCGUAGGACGGGGGAGGGGCGCCGUAGGGGUCGGGCUCUUGGCGGCCGUAGGGGGCGGGGGGGCGGCGGUCGUCGUCGUCGUCGUCGCGGCGGCCGUGGCCGUGGCCGUGGCGGUGAGGGAACUCCAUGAUUGAUUGGCCUGUCGGUGGUGGUGGUCGGGACUCGGGAAAUGGGAACGCGGGGGGGUGGUGGAGGUGGAUCCGAUCCGAGCCUAAAUAUGUCGCGUCGCCGGAGUACAUGUCGACGGGCGGGUGAGGUGAGCGCGCGACGUGGCGCCAAUGGGACGCGCUCGCACGACCGACCGACCGACCGGCCGGGCCGAUUCAAUUUCGCAACUGGGCGAUGGCGAUCGGUGGAUCGCCACGUGCACAGCUUUGCACUACACACGUCGCGGAUGGUGGAAAAAUCGUGGUCGUAUCUCAUCCGUUGUUUCUUUUCCUUCGGAUGCCGCGGGAGAUCGGAUCGUAUCAAGCCAAACCAGUCAAGUACCAGCUCAACAAAAAUCAACCGAGCACUCAAUUAUUGCUUGAAUUUCAAGAAGAAAAAAAGGGAAAAGGAGAAUUCGAUGUGGUGUGUACGCUGUGGCCCAAUGGUGCAGCUGCGAGUUCUGAUUUCUUGUUUGAUUGGGGUUGCAUGCGCGGAGGCAGCGGGCGCCAGACGGCGAAUCCUAUUUGACGCUGCAAGCGUCGGUUAAAGUGUAUUUUUCUUAACUGACGCCUGCAGUUUUCGGUCAUGGCCGACCCUUCGGGAGGCGGUUUUUCCGUCUUUGUGAAGGUUCCGCAAGCUUUCUAGAUGGAUUUUCUUAUUUAUGUUUUUUAGGACUGGUUCUUCUUUGGUUUAUCUUUUUUUCUUUAUUAUUUUUAUUACUUUUUCAUUUUCGUUUUAAUAUUUAUAUAAUUUUUACUUUUUGAAAAACGCAGCCAUUUCUUGAUUAACUUUUUCUCAAACGAACAAAUAUUUUUUCAGAUCAAUGAACCUUUUUCAGAAUUAUAUGUUCUUUUAUUAAAAUUCUAUGAACAUUUGUGAAUAUCGAUGAACUUUUUUCAAAUUAUGAUGAACGUUUUUCUGAUUGAUGAACUUUUUGAAAUGGAUGAACCUUUUUAAGAAUUGUGAAAAAAAAUUCAGUUCAACAAUUUUUUUAAAAAAAAAUCAAAUUCAUGAACUAAUUUUCAAAAUCCGUUAACUUUUUAAAAAUGUGAGAAGUUUUUUUUCAGAUCACAAUGAAUUUUUUCAAAUUCGUUAACUUUUUGUUUCAAAAUUGGUGAACCAUUUUUCGCUUUUAUGAACCUUUUAUGUUCUUUUUUUUUUGGUUUUUAUUAUAAAAAACCCACCUUGAGCCUGGGCCGGCCCGUUAUGCACGGUGUGUGGGCGCUAGUUCUCCUAGCUGGCGCUUAAGGCGCCGCCUCGCCGCUAUGAGCUCCCGGGCCAUACCCCCCCCCCCCACCCAAGGAACUAGUAGUAAUAUAUUGGCUUAAUUAUACGAUGGACUUAAUCCACUUGUUGACUCGUACCUGCUAAUCGAUCCACACGAUCAACGAUACGCACACACUAAUCCAAUUUGAUGUUAUCGACUCUUUCCUCGGCGACGCACCAGUCGCUAGGGUUUCAUUGACGCCGCCGUGCUGGUCGCCGGUUGUCGCGUCGGGCCGCCACCGCCGACCCGCUGUGCUCCGCCCGUCAUCGACCGUGCUGCCGCCGACCAUGCAUCAAUCGAGUACAGAGAGUCCACACAGGCUAAGAAGUUGAACGGCGCUGCCGCAAGCCCACACACAAUCCCUAACCGAUGCUGUGCAGCUGUGUUGUGAUCAGAAGACGAGGUCUUGAUGUAAUGUAAGGUGUACAAUUGUCUAGUGUCUACAGACCAGGUUUCAUAUUAUUGUGGUUGUCACUUGUUGGUUUGAUUCAUUCAAUAGAUCAAUUAAUCAAUUGUUAGUACUUAGUAGUUAGUAAUAAUUUAUUUUGAUACUUGUGAGAUCAAUUACAUAUUUUCUUUUUACUUAAUGGAAGAACUGAAAACUGCAUAGGUCAUGAAUAAGAGGAAGACAUCACCGAUAAGUAAUGGUUUCAACCAAUUGCUACAAACUCUAACUCUGCGAUUGAAAAUGCAAAUGCAAGUGUCAAGGUAGAUGUCACACAGCAACCCACUGGUCAUAAUGUCCCCAAUCUCAGUUCAGUUGAUAUGCCACCCCCCGAGCAAAAUAUUCAGGUAUCUGUGGAAGUUCUAGAACAGCAAAGAAUUGGAAGCACACCAUUUGAGCGAGACCCUGGAAAGCGCAAAUAAAUUUGGGAACUCCCUCUUGAGAAGCAAAAUGAAGCACCUUGAUCGUAAAUCUCUCGAAAACUCGUCACUAUAGCUUAUCUGUGGUGGCACCAAUACUGUUAGAGAUUGGAGAGCUAGUUUCCUCUUUUUCUUCCUUUUACAUUUAACAUGUAAAUCCGUCAUCCAACGUACCGGGCCAUCUUUGUGCAAAGUUUGCUUGCACACUGACGGUCAUCGAAAGUUGGAUGGAUUUGAGACCCUCUUUCCUGCUCAUCAGCUUAUUGAUUGAUGAUGCCAGGAGGCAGGAGCUCUUUUGUUGAAUAAAGCUCUCUGACUGGAACACAAAAAAAGACACAACCAUUCAAAAAUGAUUGUGACAUUUACAAAAGUAUUCACGCUCUUCAAACAUAUGUUCACAACAUUUUCAGGAAAUGUCUAUACAACAGUAAAGAAAGUUAUGUAACUUCAAAUAAAUUGUACUACCAUUAAAAAAACUUUGUGUCAUCAUAAAAAAGGUUCACACGUUUCAAAAACAUGUUCGUAUUGUUUUUCUACAUAUGUUCGUACCAUUCAAAAAAUGUUUGUGACAUUGAGAAAAAUGUGCAUGUGUUUCGGAAAAAAUGUUGUUGAUUUUUUUAUACAAAUGUAAAAAAAAGUUUGCUUAGUUUAGAAGAAAAAAUAUUAUACCAUAAAAAAUAUGAUCAAAUAUGUAUUCCAAAAAAGUUGGACACGUAUUCAAAAAAAAUGUUCAAAGCAUUUAAAAAAAAACUAAUGUGUAUCAAAAAUAGUUGCUGAUGUACACAAAAAUGUACAACAUAUAUGAAAAAAUAGACAUGUAUUGAGAAAAUGGGGAAAUAUUAAACGUAUACGAAAUAGACAUCUAUUGUGGCAGUUCAAGACAAUAAUCGUAGUCGUCAAAAGGUUCUUCCUUUGCGACAGCAAGAACAACUUGGUGGGUAAUUUGUCAAUUCUUAAAGCCAUUCAUUCACCAUCACUUGAUUAAUUUGUAACUCAGCUAAUUAGCCACUAGCUACGACUAACAUCACUUGCAUAGCUUGUGGGGCAUCACUUUGCUUUCAGCACAAGAAAGUACUUAUAGUUAAUAAGUUAUUUGAGCUAAGUAGCAAUCCAAUGUGCGACGUGGAGUUUCUCAGCCCGCGCUCAACUGAGCUCGAAUGAACAGUAAAAGUAAAGUGAGAAAAACUGCGGCAAACCUAUUUAGCGUGACAGGCAUUGCUUAAAGGAAAAAGUUGCUAACCGGCGCCUGCAGGGCUCCGUAAUGGGCGGGCCCAUGUUGAGAUCCUUCAUGAACUUUUUUUAGCCUGUGAAAUGUUUUAGCCCGUGAUCUUUUUUUGAAAUCGGUAAACUUUUUUGAAAAUCAAUGAUAUUUUUUGGAAAUUCAUGAACAUUUCUGAAAAUCAAUGAACAUAAUUUAAAAUUCAUGAUUUUUUUCAAAAUCAGUGAAAUAUUUUUAAAAAUUGAUGAACUUUUUCAAAAUCAGUGAACUGUUCUUAAAAAUUGAUGAACUUUUUUCAAAAUCAAUGAUUGUUUUUUCGAAUCUUUAAACUUUUUGAAAAUCCAUGAAAAUAUUUUUCAAAAAUAGGUGAACAUUUUCAUAAUAAUUGAACUUUUUUGAAAAUCUGAACUUUUUAAAAUUCUGUGAACUUUUCUCAAAUUUUUAGUGACCAAGACAUUUUUUACAUGGGAGGAGUGCUUCAGGCGCCGGUUUCCCUAACUGGCGCUGAAGGCGCCAAAUACGAGGGGACUUCCUAUACCGUACCUUCAGCGUCCUCUAAGCCAAUUGGCGCUCGAUGUACCUUCCUAUACCGUCCUAUUUAAACUUUUUAAAAAUCCAUGAACAUAUUUUUCAAAAAUAGGUGAACUUUUUUCAUAAUAAUUGAACUUUUUUGAAAAUCUGAACUUUCUAAAAUUCUGUGAACUUUUCUCAAAUUUUUAAUGACCAAGACAUUUUUUACAUGGGAGGAGUGCUGCAGGCGCCGGUUUCCCUAACUGGCGCUGAAGGCGCCAAAUAGGAGGGGACUUCCUAUACCGUACCUUCAGCGUCCUCUAAGCCAAUUGGCGCUCGAUGUACCUUCCUAUACCGUCCUCUUUAAACUUUUUGAAAAUCCAUGAAUAUAUUUUUCAAAAAUAGGUGAACUUUUUUCAUAAUAAUUGAACUUUUUUGAAAAUCUGAACUUUCUUAAAUUCUGUGAACUUUUCUCAAAUUUUUAAUGACCAAGACAUUUUUUACAUUGGCUGGCCCAUGAGGAGGAGUGUUGCACGCGCCGGUUUCCCUAACUGGCGCUGAAGGCGCCAAAUAGGAGGGGACUUCCUAUACCAUACCUUCAGCGUCCUCUAAGCCAAUUGGCGCUCGCUGUAUCGAAUUCAUGGGCCGACCAACGACGCGCAACACAAGCGCAAAAGUCCUAAAAAAUGAUGGGGAUUGAUCUGCGACGGCGCGCUGGCCCAAACUUUUGGCCGGCCGCGCGCGAGCGGCAGGAUCCACCAACCCCGCGUCGUCCGCACCAUUGGAUCCGCAUGCAACAUUUUUUUUUCCUAUGCAGCAAAAUUUCGAUUCGAUGCGAUGCAGCAAUUUUUUUAACGGUUGCAACAAAAAACAAAAAUUGUGCCAAAAAAAUAUUUACGUGAUCGUAGCAAAAAAAUAAAGCUGAUGGUACGUGGUAGCAAAAGUCAAACGCCGAUUGUAACAAAUAUUUAUGUGACGUGUAUGCAACUUUUUUAGUGAACAGUUGCAGCAAACAUGAUGCCGGUUGUAGCAAAAAUUAACACGGUUGUAGCAAAAAGUAAAAAACAUCGAUUGUAACGAAAAAUCCAACGAACUGGUGUUGCAACCAAACGUAUAUGCAGCUUUUUUACUGAAACAAAAAAUAGUAAAAAAACGCUUGCAGCAAAAAUGACGCUGGUUGCAACAUAUUUAGACGAAAAAUGUUGCAUCCAUUGACCAGAAAAGCGCGCGGGUGGAAAAAAUGUUGCAAGGACCCGCGCGCGCGAGGGGAUGACCGGCGCGCGGGUGGGAAACGAUUCCCAAGAAUGAUUGGGGCUUUGACUCGAACUCAGGUCCUCUCAUUCCUACAUCUUCUCUGCUAACCACUAGUCCUAGAAGCUAAUAGUAAUCAACUGAACCUCAAAAAUAUUUAAGAAUACUCUAGCCACGUAGUUCCAAAAUCUGAAAGUUCACAUAUUUUUAAAAAGUUCACGAUUGUUUUCUUAAAAAAGCCUCACGUAUUCGAAAAACAAAAUCACGAAAUUGAAAAUUCAUUAAUUUGAGAAUAAAAUUUCACAAAUUUUCAAAAAAAUCUCUAAUUUAAGAAAAGUUUGUAAGUUUGAAAAACGUUAACAGAUUUGAAAAUGUUCACAAGAUCCACAUAAGUUCACCAAAUUGUUAAAAAAAUUCAAGAAUCUUUAAAAAGUUCCAUCAAAUUCGAAAAAAGUUCAUCAAUUUUGAAAAAAGUUCAACGGAUUUCAAAACAAGUUCAUUGAUAUUUUUUUUUUAAGUUCAUCGAAUCUGCAACAGUUUUAUCAAUUUAAAAAAAGUUCAGUGUAUUUUCAAAAAAGUUUAUCAUUUUUUAUAAAUAUUUUGAACAAAAACUUGGAAAAGGUUCAUUGGAUUCGAAAAAGGUUCACCGAAUUUUGAAAAUUUCAUCAAGUUUAAAAAUAGUUCACCAUUUCGUAAAAAGUUCACAAAUUCAAAGGAAAAAAAUCAUCAAUGUUGGAAAAAGUUCAUUGGUUUUUCUAAAAAAAGUUCAUUGUAUUUGAAAAAGUUUGUCAAAUUUGAAAGAAGUUCACUGAACUAGGAAAGAGUUCAUCAAAUUUUAAAAAUUGUGGAUGGAUUAAAAAAUAAACGACUAAGAAAGAAGGAAAAUUAAAAAGAAAAUAAAAACAAAAACAGAAAACAGAUAAAAGGAAAAAUGAAAAAAGAAGAAACAAUGAUAAGGUAAAAAUGACGUAUGUUGACACAUCAAGGAAUGUGGUUACCACUCUUCGCACCGAGCUAGGAGAUCCUGGGUUCGAAUCCUACUCCUUUCCAAUAUUUGAAUGAACAGACAGACGUAAAUGGGCUAACCGGCGCCUGCAGCAUUAAAUAGGAAAUGCCGAAAUGACGAAUAGGAGGUCCCAAAAAACUGUGUGUGCCUGUGCUAGAUUGGGUCAGGCGCAUGUCUGCCUCGCGCACUAGGCUUGGCCCAUCAUCGGUGUGCUUGAGACGAGGAAGUCUUAAGCGAGACAUAGAGGCUCUCACGAAGUAUAGCAUUGUGGACUGGAGUAGAAUAUAGUUCUUUUAAGCUAAGCCUAACCCCCUUUAUGGCCCAAUACAUAUAUAAACACUACACACUCUGUGCCGGCCUACAUGCACUGACCCGAACUUGUACUCGAUCUGGUCAUGGCCCACAAAAUUGGAUCAUUCUACGUUCGAUUCUCCUUUUCUGCUGAAAAAAAUGCAAGACAAUAGAGCAUUUUUUAGGAAGCAAUACCACUAUAUAUGUUGUCAUUGCAACAAUCUAUUAUAUUAAGAGCAUCUACACCCGGACCCCUCAUACAUGUCUCAAACGCCUCGACAGGCCGUCCGACCAGUGAUCGGUCACAAAAACGCGACCCAACCGAACCUCUUAAAUCCGUCUCAAACGCCCGAGCUGACCGGCACUGCUCAUAUCCGGCCCAAAUAUAGGGCUGAUAUGGGGCGGUCCGGUCACACCGGGUGUGUCUGCCCGGUAAGCCCGGUCCAACACUGACCCCACCGUUGUCCCACAAAAUCCCCACUUUGGCCGCCUCGUUCCGAACUCUAGCUCACUCUCUCUCGCUCUGUCCCCUCCUCCCCCUCUUCGAGUAUGAUCCCAUCGUGUCCAAUGUCGAUCUCCGACAGCCGCUCCGGCUCCGACGGUCGCUCCGGCUCCAACGGCUCGGACAUCGACCCCGAGGAGUUGGCCCUCCGCAUCGCCUUGGAGCGCGGUCCAAGGUGGAGACGGCCGGAAGCUCCGGAUCUAGCGCUUAGCCACUGGUCCCGCGUCGACGGAUCUAUGACAUCGAAGCGGGACCCUCCCGGCACGCGAGCAGCUCCGUCGGGACUGCGUCCGCACCUGCCCUGCGUGCUGCCCUUUCCCCGCCGGCCGCUCCUCCACGCGGGCAUCAUUGGGUCCUAGUACCCGCACCAUUGGCCUGCACGGGCACUCCGGAAUCGGAGGCGCGCACCGCCCACCGUGAGAGGCAGCGGGCAAGGGAGAGGGAAACAAAGCAGUCUGUGCGCCACCGUCGCGAGAUGCCGGCUGAGCCCGACAAGGACGAACGCCUCCUCGCAUGGGUGUACCUCGGGUCCCUCACGACGGCAGAGACGAGUGUUCGACACCUUCGUCAGAAGAACGCCAAGGCGUUUCAGCUUGCUAUUGAGCAGUCGGAGCGCGAAGCGAAGGAGCUAGCGGAGGAGAAGGCUCGACUCGCCAAGAUGAAGCGGGAGCAGUACAGGGCCGUCCGUCGGAUGAAUGGCCUCAUCGUCUUCUUGGACUCGGACUCUGACGACGGCAACAACGACACCUCGCCCUUUGACCCUCCGCCAGCCACGAACGGCUACAACUGCGUCGACGACCCACAGGGCAAAGGGCCAGCAAGGAAGUGGUGAUCUGCCCCCCCCCCUCUACGCAUUAUUUAUAUACUCCCUCCGUCCCAAAAUUCUUGUCUUAUUGUCUAAAAAUGGAUGUAUCUAAGUACUAAAACAUAACUAGAUGCAUUCAUAUCUAUACAAAUGUAAGACAAGAAUUUUGGGACGGAGGGAGUAGUUUUUAGUUGUAGUAACGUAAGAAAUUUGUCCGAUGAACUUGAGAUGAUCUUGUGGCUGAUGUUUGAUGUCCGUUUGAAGUUGAUUUUGUGUUUGUGCGUUUUUGAUUUUGUUGUCCUAUGUUUUUUCACGUACAAUAGCUCAACGUUGCGUGGGUAGUACGGAUAUGGGUGUCGGAUAUAAGACAAGCGGAUGUGAAAAGGAAAAUAUGAAACGCGUCUGGCCAGUGUACGAGACGCGACCGUUUGAGGGGUUAGAUUUGCAAGUUACGACUAUAGAUGCUCUAAAUACUAUCUUUCCUGGUUAAAAAGACACUUAAGGCCCCUCCCCACUUCACCUAUGUCUUCGGUUUUGCCGAUUCUUCUCAUUGAUUUUUCUUAAAAGACACCUCAACUGUCUCAUGUAUUUUUAUAGCUUAGCAAAUAAAAUUAUGUUUUCGUUGGUAUGUCUAUAGGUGCUAGUUUAAUUGACAGUCGAUAUAUUAGCAGUUAUGGCGAAGCCACAAGUUCAAAGUUAUGAUCUCAAUUCAUAAUUGUGACCAAAUACGUGUGUUUAUAUGAUUUUUUUUCUUUCUUGAUUUCUACUUAUAUGUGUUGCUUUUGCACAAAUACUGUAUAGUCAACUGACUACACAGAACACAUGUGGAGUCGUCAUUGUGUAAUCACACUUACACACUAUCAAUAAAAUGACGGGUAAAUCAUGAUGAGUGCGUGCAAAAUAUUUAUGCCUCGUUGCAACACCAACCAUUAUCUAAUAGUAGUAGUUAAGAAACAAUAUCCCUGGUCCUCAAAAGGUUCUCCCUUUGCGGCAGCAAGCACAACUUGGUCAGUAACUUGUCAACUCUCAGAGCCAUUCAUGCAUCAUCACCUGAUUAAUUAUUAUUUUUAACGCAAUCACCUGAUUAAUUAAUAACUGGUGAGGGUAUAUCCGUACACAUGCAGCUCAGCUAAUUAGCCACUAGCUGCGGUUGACAUCACUUGCAUAGCUUGUGGGGCAUCACUUUGCUUUCAGCACAAGGAAGUGGUUAAUUAAUCACUUAUUUGAGCUAAGUACCAAUCCAACGUGUGCUUUUGCUUCGUCUUAGGAAGCAGGUUAUGGAGCUGUCUCGUUGAUACCUAGCUACUUGGCACUUGCAGUGGUCAAACACUUGGUAGAAAACAUUUUUUAAUUUUGAGCGUGUUCAUUCUGAUGGAUCGAGAUAGCUUGACCCCUUCAAGUUAUAUGUAAUAAUGCACAUCGAUUGUACAAGCAAAAGGCCGAUUUAAUAUACUCAUGGCAUUAUAUUACUCCGUUGCAUUACGUGAGAGAAUUCUCAAUGAUGAGUGCCAUGCAUGCACAAGGUGAAAAAACAACAAAAACAAUGAAGCGUGCAUGGUUGAUCAAGGUAUCAGUUUACCAUCCCAUUGUUUUUUUUAUCUACCGGUGGUCUACGAAUUCAUAUGUGCUAGUAUUCAGUUGGUAUAACCAUAAUCAGCGAAAAAUUCGAUGGGGCAUCAUGUAUCCGCAGCUUAGUUAUACGCAUACAUACGUAAAAUAUUCAACCCAUGCUACAAAAAAUACUUUUAUCCAUGUGGCAAUCUUGCAUUGCUCCAUAUAUAAUUUCUCAAAUAAAUUGCUAAGAUAUAUUUAAUUAUUAGAUACACGCAUGCCUAUAUGGUUGUUUAAUUACCUUUCACAACAUUUAGUUACUUUUUGUCAAUAACAUUUAACAAAUGUACAACUUGUACUAGUAAGUACGUACAACAAACAAAAUGUAGAUAUAUUGUUACCGCGACGCAUCGCUCAUAGGAGUGGACACGAAAUAGAUAGUGAUAUUGGGCAUUGCUAUUUUCUCCUUAUUGAAUUAAUAUCACAAUUGAUUCGUGUGUACAAAAUAUGAGCAUGACGCCGAGCAGUUGAGUGGCCCCAAUGUGAAUUUAUUUCUAACACCACCUACACCCCAAAUCUAAUGUUGUUAUUCAUGACCAAGUAAUCUUAUUAUUUAUGUGCCUCGUGAGUUUGCUCUUCAUAUUCGGGUUUGCAUUUGUGCAAAUGUGAGCUUCAUUAUCUUCAUGUAUGUAGAUCCGGGUUCCCUCUGCUAUGAUACCAAUUGUAGGAAACCUACUAUGUGAUGGCUUUGAUACCCAUAAUACUUGAGAACCUUCACACUCUCAAAUAAUGGGGAUAACUCGAUCUUUUAUUCACAACCACUAAUAGAAAAACUACUUUACGUGAGAUACAUUAGUCCCUGUUUGUAAACGGACGGGCACUAAUGUGACCAUUAGUGCCGGUUUAAACGGCUAGGGAGGCGCGCAUCAUUAGUCAUGAUUCGUGUUGAACCUCUAGUACCGGUUCGUGACACGAACCGGGACUAAUGGAGUGGUGACAGGCUGGUGUCUGCCUGCUUCAACUCAUGAUACUUGGUACAAACUUUAUUGGUGUCUACCUGCCAUUCUCAUUCAUAGCGGGUCCUACUACUACCUUGGUUCUCUUUCUACCUUGCUUAGUUUGGUUUAUCUUAGGAGGGGAGUCCAUCCCUAUCUAGAGUUGCACAUGACCAUUAGAUUGAUGGCAGGUGGCAACCAUCCAAAACCAAUGCAGUCAUUGCUCUCUGAAUAACCUAGAAAACACCCUACAAAUAUCUUAUAUCUAGUGUUCUCUUUAAUUUGCCACAUAAUUUAUUCAAACAUUUGUUCUAGAACCACCGAGAGAAAUAACAACUCAUGUGUAUUAAUAUCCAAAUGAUCUAGAAGUUUCUUAUCUUUGAGAUGAAUAACUUCUCUAGUAUCCUCCAUGGCAAAUAUCUUGACGUUCUCGAUUCUUAGAAAUAUCUUCAGUGACCCAAGUAUGCAUUGCAUAUUAUCAACAAUAGGAAAUCGAUAGAGUAUCUCAAGAAUGUAAACAACUAUCGGCUAUGGCAUGUCACCGUAUGAGGCCAAAUGGUGUGCAUAUGUCAACAUAGGGAGGAUAUCUAGUGGCCAAGCACUCCCGGUGCUGCCAAUGCACAAAAUCACCAUUCUAUUACUUUCUUUUUUCUUAAAAUGUUAAGUGAGUCAAUAAGAUAUGUUUGUACAAUGUGUGAAAUUUUGAAAUCAAUUCAACCUACAUAUGAUGGAGAAGCAAAAAUAAAUAAAUAAAUAAAUAGAAAUUCAGCCAUGAUGGUGUUUGUAUUUUGAUUUUUUAUAAUAUUCAUAGUUGGAUUUAUCUUUUUCGAGUAAGAUGUUUUUAUCCUCUAUCUACAUACUCCCCCUGUUCCAAAAUAAUUGUCUUAAUCUUGUACUAAUCUUAGUAUAAAAUUAUACUAAUUUUGAGAUACUUAUUUUGUGACGGAGGAAGUGGAAUUUUGUGGUGCCGACCUCUUAGGUGGGACACACACAUGCUUCCAUCGAUGUCCAUGCAUAGGAUGAUGGGAAUAUCAGCAUCUGUCAUUUUUUUUCUAACUGUUUUUACUUCUUCCUUUUUCCAACUAGCUUAGCCUAUCAAUUGCUUGUUCGUGUACAUACUUGUGUGUCUCUCUCGAUAAACUUGUCGUUCCUUGGGUGCGAUGACUUCGCAAGGAAUCCAACCUUUCUACCAGUAAAAAAAAAAAAGACAAGCCAUUGCUCUCCUCUUUAUUUUAAAGUACAUGCACUUCAAUUAUGCACGUCUCUUCCCCCUAACACGAGCAUGCAUUAUAAGUUGCUACUAUUCUAUAAGCUCCAAUUGAUUCAUCCAAAGUCCAAGAUUUGGUUACAAUAAAUAAGGAAAGUAAUUUUAAACUAAUACGAAUUUUAUUCAAUGAAUGUUCACAAUUUACAUCCUAGUUCACCCUACAUAUACAUACAUAUACACACAAGUUAAACAUGCAUCUACAAUCAGUUCUACCUAUCUUGUGACAUAAUUGUGUUCUUCUUCUACUCCGGCCUAUAAUAUCUUACACUAAUCAAUUAACUUUACACAAUAUACGGUACUAAUUUAGCCUGAUCUACAAAUUAUGCAUGAGUAAUAUCCCCCUCGAUCCAUUGAUCGACCGGCAUCAAUAGUGAAUAAUUGAUUAAUAUGUCUGCAGUCAAAUCGCUAGCUAGCUUUCUCCUAGCCCUAAUUAUCAAGGUAGCAUGCAUGGAUCAUAUCCUGUCCUGCUGGGAAGGCUGGUCUGGCCCAAAUAUGGAGAAGCCGCCGUUCAUCAUCGUCAUGGACCCAUCGCUACCCAACCACCUCUUGGAAGCGUGCAACGACGACAUUUCACCAUCGUUAUUGCUGUCCGCCGUCGCCUGCCUCUUCCGCGCCGUGCUGGCCUCGCCGUCGCUGGCCCCAGCAGUGGUGCCGAGGAAGAACUGGCCGACGGAGGUUGCAAUCUCCGGCUGUGGCGGCGGCAUGCUGUCGAAGAGCUCCGAGACGGCUGAGUAGUCCACGAGGUAGUCGGAGAUGGACGGGUUCCUCGGCAGCAUCCGGGAGGAGGAGGAGGUGUCCUCUUGCUGCUGAUGUUGCUGCUGCUGCUGCUGCUGCUGGUGGUGGUGGUGGCCGUGGCCGAGGCCGAGGGUGGCGUCCAUGGACGACGGCGACGGCGACGGCUCGUAGAAGGGCGACAGCUGCUGCGGGUUGGGCUUCUUGUAGAUCCUGCACAGCACCCAAUCAUCCAGCUGCACGCACACAAGAAGGUGAAUCAGUGCCACACACGUGUGUGCAUGUAUGUUGCAACAAACGGUCGCUUGCUAAGCUUGACAGGUAGUUGGUGCUGGUUAGCUAGUAGGUUGUGGCUUGUAAGGUAAUAGUGCAAGUCUCUUUCUUAGGGAAGGAAGAUCCCAGCGGUGAAAGAAACUAUAGCUAAUAGGACGGACAGUGGCUUCCUAGCUCAUUGACCAGGUUAGUUGCUUGCUCGAGCUCAACUCACUGACAUCCACGCACACGCAACUAAUAAGAAGAGAACAAAAGAUUCCUAGCUAGCUCCAACGAGAUGCCUUCCUCGUUAAUUUGCAGCCGCAGAAAACAUGCAUAUGCAUGUGUGAUCAAUCAAGAAGAAAUAAUAAAGCAUGAAAUUACCGAGUACAACAAGAUGAUGGAGAGAGCCAUCGCAAAAAAAGAAAAAAAGAAAGAUGAUGGAGAAAGAGUUGUGCAUGCAUGCGUACCCUCAUGGAGGACGAGGCCUUGAACCGCGUGGGGGGCCGGUAUGUGUGCGCGGCGGCGGCGGCGGCGGCGUGGGCGUCGGCGAGGCGGUACUCGUGCAUGAUCCAGUUCGUCUUGUGCCCCUUGGGCGGACGGCCCUGGUAGAACACGAGCGCCUUCUUGACGCCGACCAUCUCGCCGCCGGGCACGCCGCCGGCCGUGAUGGGCUUGUCGGUGCCGGUGGCCUUCCAGUAGCCCGACCCGGCGGCGCGGUUGGGGCGGACGCCGUUGGGGUACUUGCGGUCGCGGGGGCUGAAGAAGUACCACUCGUCGUUGUCGCCCUCGAACACCGCGCGGGACGGCAGCUCCCACGGGUCCAGCUUGUAGAUGUCCACCUCCGCGAUGACGGCCGCCGGGCACGGCGCCGCGGCCGCGCGCCUGCGGAGGUAGUGCACGAUCAGCUCCUCGUCCGUCGGGUAGAACCGGAACCCCGGCGGCAGCCCCGUGCCCGCCGGCGCCGGGAGCGACGUCGGCCUCGUCUGCAGCUCGAUCGUCAUCACACACACCCGAUCGAACGCUCGGUCAGGGGCUCAAGGCGGCGAGGGAAGGGAAGGGAAGGUGGGUCGAGAGUCGAGACGGAGGAGAACUGAAAUUUUCGGAGGUGGAGGCGACGGGUGCGGUUAUAAAGGCGCCGAGGUGCUCCGGCGCAUGGCAGGCUCUUGUAAUUCUUGGCCGCCGGUGACGAGAGGGAUGAUGAUUGCAAGGGCCCUGCCGUACGUGCGCGUCCAUCCAUAUCACGUCAUCGGCGCUCGCAGGCUCACGUACUUGGCCAGAAUCUUCAAUUUGUUGGAAUAUUUUCUCUCUUUUUUGUGCCAUGUGAGAACGAGAGAGUGGGGGAAAAUAUAUCCGAAAAAGACAUUAGCAGAAUGAAUGGAUGAAAAUUGUGCAAAUGAUUGGAGAAGUUGGAUAUUCGGCUCGGUUUGUAGGACCGGGAAGCGUUCAUGGCCCAGAGGAAUACCAUAGCACAUGAAUACCAGGUACGGUGUUUUUGUGUGUGUUUUCAUUGACCACGCAGGAAUAGCUACUCCUAUGCAUGCAUGCACUGAUGCACAUGCAUGGUGCCAUUUGCUGCUGGCUGAGACAUUUCAAAGAAAAUUAGUAUUAUUCAUUGCUGAAAUGCAAAGCUCGGAAAAUCAUUGGAGUUGUCAUAGACUACAAACUACAAGUUGAUUGAAUUCAGAUCAAGAUUUUUGUAGGCCCGGGAUUAUCCGAUCUUCAUUUAAUUCUGUUCAUUGCUAAAACGGAGGGACUUAGGAGUAUGCAUGCACAUGCAUUAGAGUCAUCUGCUGCUUAGCUGCUAGCCGAGACAUACAAAAUUAUAUUCCCUGCUGGUAUGCAAAACCAUUGGAGCUGUCUAGACUACUAAUUGAUUGAAGUUGCUUAAAUAUCUCCAUCAAACUCUAAGCAUUCAGAUCAAGAUUUAAUCAUUUUCAUAAAGCGCACGAAGGUUCUACUUGCACAGUUGAAGAGUGAAAUUUAAGAACUGGUAGUGCGCAAUUUGUAGUAACUGAAUCCAAAAGGAAAGGUACCUACGGGCGAGUUCCACUUCAUAAAAGGGGCGGUUUUGGACAAGAUUGACGACUAGUUUAUAUAGCUAUAUAUGUGUAACAAAUUAACAACCAAUAGAACUAUAAUAUUGAUGAAAAUACUCCUUGAUACUAAUCUAACCAUAUGAUUCAUGUUUCAUAUCCAAAUAUAAAAAAAUGAUAUCCAUAGUAAAUCAUUUCAUCGUUUGACAUACAACAUGUAUGUAUUCGUGGCAGUAAGAAUUAGCAAACUAAGAAUCAUUGAAAUUAAUGAAAUCAUUAAAUCACUACAAAUUGCUACCGCCCGAUUGCUAAUUAGAGUACAAACAACAUUAUAGAUCCAAAUAUCCCGCAAAAAAAAGCAUUAUAGAUCCAAAAUAAUGAAACCUCAACUUCAUCAGAGCAUCUCAAUUAACUAGUGUGUUAUGUUGUCAGAAAUUAUAUAUAUUCAUAUCAUCGACUGUAUACAACCACUCCAACAGAGUGUUUCUAAGUUAAUUUGCUCUCUAUUUUGACAUUGGAUCUUAUGCAUGUCUCUGUUACAUUAUUAUAAACCAUACGUUGCCGAUUUUAUGAGCAAUAACCUACCCCGCGGCGGGGAUGGAGGGUGUGUGGUGAUAGACAAACACGGCUAUUGAGUGGUAACAAAAACCCUACUCAUUAUACGACUAAUACAGUAGAUACAGUAGAAGAUCUAAGUUCCAGUAGAUGGUGAGAGAAUCAAAGCUUGCUCUAUUUCCACCUUGGAGCUUGUGCAUAGCAUUAUGGUUCAUCUAAAUACAAGCUUCAUAUAUAUCCUUAUAUUAUUUAGUUUAAUUAUGUGAUGUCACAUAAAUUUUACAUGACAAAUUUUACCCAUGAUCAUGUCACCAAACACCAAAUGCUUGCGAUGCCGCUAGCUAUGAGACGAAAUUAGCUUACACCAUUAAUAUAUCCUUUUUUAGGCCGGAUUUGACUUUUGUGCCUUGUGAUGGGAAUGAUUGGCUUGCGUGCUAAACUGGCUUAGCUAAGCUCUAGGUAGUCCGAAGUCGCUGGAGACUCUGGAGAAAGCUUUUUCGUCUACUCUUACUCCACAAGAAGAAUAUGCACGACCGGGCCAUCACCUGAUCGAUUAUAUGGAUAGUUUAAUCUAUGGAGAAUUCCAUCAAGCCGCGCGACUAUAUAUAUAAUCUUCAAUUAUAUCUGAUUUUGUACAAGGUACUGGUGAACUAUGCACUACUCGAUCGAUUUGCUUGCGUAGGUCAGAUUGAAAAAACAGUGCACAUCAACUCAAUUAUGUAUGUGCAUAGGAUCGAAUGAUUCGCUGGGGAUAUGCCGAUAAACCCUAGGAAGAAGUUAAAGCUAGCUAGCUAGCUACUCCCUCCGUUACGGUUUAGAAGGCACAGUUAAACUUGUGUGCGUUUUUAAAAUAGACAAGGUUUAAACGCGAAAGCAAUUACUCCUAUUAAUUAGUACUAGUACUACUCAUGCAUGCGUCCUCCUAAUUUGUUGCUCACGCAUUAGUACUAGUAUUUUUUCAGUUGAUUAGGCGCAUUAGCAUCUACACCUGCUACAUCUCACAACCAAUCGGUGACUACCUUGGUACCAGAGAUUUUUUCAAACGUGUCUUCUAAACCGUGACGGAGGGAGUAGCAGACAUGGUUUAAGAGUAUACAAAUAAAUCCAGUCUUUUUAUGCAUGCAAGCAUGCAUUAAAGGGCCAGCACUAGCUCUUGUUUUGCACUUUUUUUACGAAUAACUGGCCUCAGCGUAAUUAACAACAUGCAUACAGUCAACACAUCUGAUUUUUAUUAAAACAUCACUUUAAAGGAACCAUAAAUAAGAAGUAGCCUGGGAUAUAUGAGGUCCUAUUCGAGGGUGGGGAAAAACAUUUCUGUAUGCUUCAAUCGAGUGGACACCAUCAUAAAAAGAUACAUAUCUUCCGGCCUCGGACAGACCUAGCUAGUAAGAAGUCAUUGUAUAUUUGUAUACACACAUAAAUAACCUUGAGUAUGGAGGUAGCUACUAGCCAAGUUGAUGAGAUUAUUGUGCAUGUGGUUUCUCUCUUUAGAAAGUGCCUGUGCAUGCAGCUUAACUUCUCCCUCGAAUUAACCUCAUAAGACACUAGCAUAACGUACACAUAAUCAUACUUAUAAGUUAUAAUUAAGCAAACAUAUGCACGCAUGCAUGCCACCAGCAGUACAUACAGUACAAAAUCUAUCUAUCUGAUCCAUUUCGCACGUGCGUGCUUUCAGGGACAGUAACGUUGCACAAGGCGUGACGGCGCCUUCUCUUCCUCCGGCUUAUUAUUACAUGCAUACCAAGGCUGUCCACGUGUACAACACCCGGCCGGCCUGUCAGAGUCUCUCUUACGUGCCGACCAUGGAUGCAUAUAAGCUAUAGCAGGAGCAUCGAUCCUACAGCUAGAUCAUCUUGAGGAGGAGUAGCUUACAUCUGCGUGUACAGCUGGUGCAUGCAACUGGUGGGUCCAUCAUCAUAUGCUGAUGGUUCAGCUAGAUAUACUUUCAUGCAUGCACACGUGUGUGUAGGUGCUCGAGCGGGUCCCGUCUAAUUCUUGUUAUGAAAAGGAUGCAGAGGGAGGGAGGGAGACUAGUCGCCGAUCAUGACAUCCACUCGUGCUAUGCUGGCUACUUCUACCCAUCUCAUACACGGUUUGGCAUGCCAAACACUGCUAGGACUUUUUUCUAUAUAUAUCCUUGCGUACUUAAUCAUAUCUCGAAAAUCGAUGCAUAUAUGGCAUAUAUACAUGCAUGCGCAAAGGAAAGUCUUUUUAGUUUUCAAACGAUAAAUGUCACAAGUGUGACAUGAAAUAACACCGUCCUGACGUUUUAUAAACGAAAAUUGUUAUCAAACAGAAAGUUGGCGUGCUUCACAAUUAAAAUUGGCAUCCUCCGAUAACUAAACUUGUCAUCAAAAAAUGUUGAAAUUGCUUCUUGCCAUACAUGUGACGUUUAUCAUGGUCCUUUAGUUUCAAGAAAAGUCAAAAUUGAUUCUACGUACCAACCGGUCAGCUUGGUUAAUUAGCUACCAACAAAAUUUGCAAUAAAAAUGAUUAUAAGAGGUUUAGAGCUAAAAUUGUAUUUUGGACCUGUGUGUUUAGCGCCUAUUGAAGGCAUAAAUCGAUGGAAUUUGGAUUUAAAAUUUUCGACGCAUUUUCUCACAAUUUGUUGUCUUUUGGUGGCCGGUGCAUGAAUAGUAGCACUGUAAAGUUUGACGGUACAUCAAUAAUAGAUAGACAAUAUUUUGAGUUGGAUAGAUAGGUACUUUCUCAAAGAGCAGUACUAACUAUCUUAGUAGCAAAGUGGCAUCUCUCCUAGUAUUUUCGGAUAAGUGCAUCGAUAUCUCCUAGUAACACACGUACGUACUACUUAGUUAUUACCAGUGUAUUCAUGUAGGCACACGUGGUCAGGUUCGAGUGGACGAUGAGUGGCUAGCGAGCUAAACAAGCUACCCAGCUAGUGCCAAAUAAGAGGGAAGAAAUGCAAUACGUGAUUGAUAGGACGAUGAUACGGACGGAUGGAUGGUGAUCGAUCAUCCCCGUACCCAUCAAAUAUCGUUUUCAGGUUAAAGCAGCAGCUAUUUCCAGAGAUCGAUAGCAAGACACGCAUGCACGUGUCGACAGGCCGGAAAGAUGGAAUCUAUUUUCAUGAUAUAUAUGCAUCAUUUGUUUAUUUAUUUGUGAAAGGGCAAAAUUCCAUAUAUAAAACAUCACAAAUCUUUAUAAAACAAUCUUACAAAAUUUAAAAAUACAUCUAAAUCUUUGGAGGUGCUGAAGUCUUCUUUCUCCUACACAUAUGAUGGCAUGCCUUAUUACCGUCUCUAGGACUUCGUCUCAGCGGAGUAUACUCUUUUUUGUUCGAAUUCAAUGGAGCUAACUUGGUGAAACGCAGGAACGAAACAAGUAUGUGCAUGUAAAAUUGAAACAUAAACACGACCAUUUGUGCUUGGUGCAAGAAGAGCAAAACGGCCAAGCAGCGGUGUGAGCUACAAGUGCGGAAACAAGCAACCAACAUGUUAUUUUUGCACUGCACCAGCAAAUGAUCAAGUUUCAGUUUCAAAAUUUGCAUGCACAUACUUUAUAUUCAUUCUCUACGCAUGCAUGAUUAUUAUGAACUUUUAAAAACUUACAUGAUGUGUUUUUCAGAACCAAAACUCACUAUAGAGAGUCCGACGCACCCAGUACCACAUUAGCACUUUCCAGGUGUAUAUGCUACAUCUGGUACUUCCCCCCGUUUUCUUGGUGUUGGAAACUUCAAACCUGACGAUCCAUCUAGUGGACUUGAUAAUUAAUGGUCAUGGAUAAUACAGUGAAAGCAUUUGUGGUGCCAUUUACUUGACUGCUACAUGCGGUAGCAGCCUCAUGAAGUCAUGAGUCUUGAUCGCCAUGGGUACGUACAGGCCAGCCACAAGAACAUGCAUUUUUGUCUUUCUCGUGACUCGAUCAAUCGAUCAAUCAUGCCCACAUAAUCGAAAUUUCUCUCCUCCGCCAAGUAAAUAAAAUUGUAUGUAUCGAUGGGGUUAACUGAAUUUCACAUAAUUGACCCGACCGAUCGAUCGAGGCAAAAGAGGGAGCGCAAAGUGAGCAACAUCAACAGCACGUGCCACUCGAUAGCUAGGUGCCAAACAGAAAGAAAGAUAGAAAGAAGUAAAACCGGCCAAGCAGGAGUUUUCCCUAUACGUGAAUGUGACCCGUUCAGUGCAUGCAUACAUAUGUAUAUUUAUUCCACUUUUGACCCGACCACAUCAAUCGUAUCUAAUCUCUUGUAGCACAAAGGGAUGACUCGGUUCCAAGUUGUGAUGUUUACUGUGUACCUCAAGUUGUUUGUCUAUUUCAUUGCUCUUCACUCUUAUACGACGCUAAGCACUUGAAUUUUUGAGAGACGUUAAAUUCAGCCAGUGCAACAGGAGCGUGCACCGGAAAUUUUCUUCUCCGCCCACUUCCUACGUUACGUACGCAUAGGUGGUCUUUGGUUGGGUUAUGGAUUUUGUGAAAUAAAUAGGUGGUCUUUUAGCAAACAUCUCAUACAAUAAUUGUAUUUUUGAACAGUUGUAAUUUUUAAUGACAAAACUGAAUAGUGAAACACAACUAGUGGCAUAAUGAUAAAAACCCGUUAAUGUGAGGAGCCAAAGGAAAAAAGAAGAAUGAAGUGGUAUGGGGAUCCUACUGGCAAUAUUUUGUACUACCUAGGACUACUAUUCCAUCAGCCACUCAUCAGAGUUCCUCUCAAAGAAACCAAAGAAAAAUGACUCCGGACAAAGUUGAUUUUUUUCUUUCAAAACAUCAUAUCACUGAAAGAAUAAUUAUGAGACAUCAAAACUUCAAACAUAGGGUUUGAUCCCUGAUGGGUUAUAGAUACCAUCAUUCUCUUAACCUAAUACUUUUUUUAAUGGAGGGAGCAUAUGACAUCCGGACGACUAUUAUUUUUCUGAGUUCUUAUUCGCGCACAAGCACACAAUCGACUCAGAAAAGUAAAUGAACUAGCUAGACGCAUACAUGGUACAUGCCACAUCUGGUGCUUUCGUCCCGCUUUCUUGGAGUGAAAAUUCCAAAGCAGACGAUCGAGUUAGCUAGUGAGCUUGGAUUUUGUGUGAUCGUCUAGUCUUGACUACUGGCAGCCUCUCUUAGUCUUGAUCACUACCUGCAGCCUGUCAAUAAACAUAUGCAUUUUGUUUCUCUCGUGACUCGCUCAGCCAAUCAUAUCCAUAUGAUUAAGGCGACUCUCUUCUUUCCGCGUGAAAACCAAUCGUGUCCAGGGUGUUGAUUAUAGUUGACGGGUUAAAGGAGGAACGUAAACAACAAGAACAACACGUGCUAGAUGCCCCGCUGCCAAUCAGAAAGAAAGAAGUAAAACCGGCCAUCAAAGCAGGAGUUUUCCCAAAGUGACUACUGUUCGGUGCAUGAAUAUAUUAUAUUACUACCUUUUCCCACUUUUGACCCGACCAAUCGUUCUAUCCAAUCCAUCCAAUCUCCUCAAGCACAAAGGGGGCGACGCUAUUCGAGGCUGCAGUAACGCUGUCAAAAUUCGAUUCUUUUACGACGCUAAUUAAGCACUUGAUUAUGGAGAUGCAUUAGUUUGGUCAGAGCAACACGAGAGCUACUGGUGCCCUAACGCACGACGCGGGCAUGCGCCUGAUCAAACUAGCACGGGCACACACAGUUUUCCUCACUUUAAUUUUACCGACCAUCAUGACAAAUAUCUUACUCGAGCAACUUCCUAAGACAAAAGCAAAAGCACACGUUGGAUUGGUAGUUAGCUCAAAUAACUGAUUAAUUAAGCACUUUCUUGUGCUGAAAGGAAAGUGAUGCCCCACAAGCUAUGCAAGAAUGUCAACCGUAGCUAGUGGCUAAUUAGCUGAGUUGCAUGUGUACGGAUAUGCCCUCGUCAGUUAUGAAUUAAUCAAGUGAUGGUGCAUGAAUGGCCUUAAGAGUUGACCAAUUACUCACCAAGUUGUUCUUGCUGCCACAAAGGGAGAACCUUUUUGACGAUUGGGAAAACUGUUUUUAGCUGCUACUCCCUUGCAUUUUAGUUGAUCUUUAAUUUAACUAAGUAAAUAAUAAGUUAUACUCUAGGUCAAAAUUAAAGUAUACCACACACUAGUAGAAAAAGGGCCUUUAGCCCCGGUUCGGUUGGGUCAUUAGUCCCGAUUCACGAACCGGGACUAAUGCUAGCCCCGGUUCGGCCCCGAACCGGGGCUAAUGUCCUUCCACGUGGCGGGGCUAGGAGCGAGGGGGGAGGGGUAUUAGUCCCGGUUCAUAUUACGAACCGGGGUUAUUUCAUCGCAGUUUUUUGAGCAAUUUUUGGGUUUAGGGUUUUGCACUAAAUUGGAUGGGCUAUUUUGCUGCCCCCUAUUUUCUCAUUUAUUUGUUACAUAUAUAUUGCACAACUCACGAAUAUAUUACACCAUCUCAUCCGUCGUGCUUUGUCGAACAUAUUUACAAAAUGUAGACAUGAGUUACAUGCACAUAUAUGCAUCUUUUUUACACUAUAUGAUUUCAUAUCAUUUCCGUCGAAUGGCAAUAGUAUUCUAAUCGAUCAUCUAACAACUCAUCAUCAUCUUAAUCAUAUGCCAAGUUAUCAUAUGAUACACAUAAAAUAAAACAGAGAAACAUCAUAAUAGUCAUCAUAUGCAUGCAUCCUAAUCGAUCAUCUCAAGUAAUAAUAUAAACCAGAAUAACUUGUCUCUCAUAAGACCUACUCCUCGCUCUUAGGUAUAAUGUCAUAAAACAGAAUAAUACCUAUGUUUCCAUGAUGAAUCACAGAGAUCCAACGGUCUCCAACUUGUGGCUCGCGAACCUUCUUUAUUUCUCUCCAUGCUUCAAUUUGAAGCCUUUUUUAUCUUGAUUUGAGGUUACUCGAGUAUGGAGCAUCGAACUCAGCCCUCAACGGGCUUCUAAUUUUCAUUUGACCUUCUGGGAGCAUCAUCAGAGGCACUACAUCAUUUGGCAGUUGCUGCUGAAGAACAUAAUAAUAACCUAGUUAGCAAUGUAAUCAACACUAUUUAUGCAAUAGUACAGCGUACUUAAUUAGAAAACUCUUACCAAGAUAUUUCGACGAAUGUCAUCCGGCCUCAACCUAUGCACUAGUGGCAUGUAAAAUGUAUAAUUUUGACCAAUUCCAAAAUUAUACGGGAAGGUAUCCCUAGAAACCAGAACACUAGCAACAAGAAAGUGGAGAAGAACAUCCUUCUCCUCCUAAGUUAGAUGUGAUCCAUAUGUGUAGUGUGUCGUGUCAAUUAAUUUCCGUAAUUCAGUCGAAGCAAUGCAAUAAGCUGUAAAUUAUAAACCGAUGGCCCUAAAAUCUAAAUGGCAAUAGCCUUGGGGUGCCUAGAGCGGGAGGGGAGGGGGCGGCAGCGCCUGGAGGGGAAGGGCUUACCGGACCGGGAUGGGGAGGGGGCUGAUAUUUGUUGUGUAUCCCCGGCAACGGCGCCAGAAAUGCUUCUGAUGUUCGUUGUGCUACUGCACAAAAGACCUUCUGGUGACGCUAGAAAUGGGCACGUUCACGGCACUAGGAAUUCUUCUGCGUUGGUGUUCCCUUGAAGCGGAAAGGGUGAUGUAGCACAGCGACGGUAAGUAUUUCCCUCAAUUUGAGAACCAAGGUAUCAAUCCGGCGGAAGAGUAUCUCAAGAUCCUGUACAAACACAAAAGCUUGCACCCAACGCUAUGAAGGGGUUGUCAAUCCCUUAUAGAUUGUUUGCCAAGUAAGAACUGAAAGCAACAAAGUAACAAAGCACAGUAAAAGAGAGUUGAAACGAUGGAUGUGAAUAGACCCGGGGGCCGUAGUGUUUACUAGUGCCUUCUCUCAUGAAAGCAAGUAGACGGAGGGUGAACAAAUUACUGUCGAGCAAUUGAUAGAACUGUGCAGAAUCGUGAUGAUAUCUAUGCAAUGAUUAUUUCUAUAGGCAUCACAUCCGAAACAAGUAGACCGAUACUUUCUGCAUCUACUACUAUUACUCCACACGUCGACCGCUAUCCAGCACGCAUCUAGUGUAUUAAGUCCAUAAGAACAGAGUAACGCCUUAAGCAAGAUGACAUGAUGUAGAGGGAUAAUCUCAAACCAAUGAUAAAAACCCCAUCUUUUUACCCUUGAUGGCAACUCCUUGAUGUGUGCCUUGCUACCCCUACUGUCACUGGGAAAGGUCACCACAUGGCAGAACCCAAAACCAAGCACUUCUCCCAUUGCAAGAAUCAUAGAUCUAGUUGGCCAAACAAAAACCGAAGACUCAGAGAGACUUACAAGGAUAUCAAAUCAUGCAUAUAAGAAAUCAGCAAAGACUCAAAUAUAUAUCAUAGAUAAUCUGAUCACAAGUCCACAAUUCAUCGGAUCUCGAUAAACACACCGCCAAAGAAGAUUACAUCGGAUAGAUCUCCAUGAAGAUCAUGGAGAACUUUGUAUUGAAGAUCCAAGAGAGAGAGGAAGCCAUCUAGCUACUAACUACGGACCCGUAGGUCUGAAUUGAACUACUCACGAGUCAUUGGGGGGCGAUGAUGAUGAUGAAGAAGCCCUCCAACUCCAAAGUCCCCUCCGGCAGGGUGCCGGGAAGGGUCUCCAGAUGAGAUCUCGCGGAAACGGAAGCUUGCGGCGUCGAAAAAGUAUUUUCGAGGCUCCCCUAAUUUUUUUGCGGAAUAUUUGGGAAUUUAUAGGUCAAAGAUCUAGGUCAUGGGCGGCCAGGGAGGCCACAAGCCUGCCCACCGCCGCCUCCCCCUAGUGGCGGAGUGGGGGCUUGUGGGCUCCCUCGAGUCCACCUGGCUUGGCCCAAAAGCCCCAUGGACUUCUUCCGUUCGGGAAAAAAUUAUUUCGGGGUUUUUCUUCCGUUUGGACUCCGUUCCAAAAUCAGAUCUGAAAAGAGUCAAAAACACGGGAAAAACAGGAACUCGCACUUGGCACUGAAUUAAUAAGUUAGUCCCAAAAAGAUAUAAAAAGGUACAUAAAACAUACAAAGAAGGAAAGAUAACAGCGUGAAAUCAUCAAAAAUUAUAGAUACAUUUGAGACGUAUCAAGCAUCCCCAAGCUUAACUCCUGCUCGUCCUCGAGUAGGGAAGUGAUAAGAAUGAAUUUUUGAUGCUUUCAUGCUACCUAGCAUAGGUGUCCUUUGUAAUUCCUCUUAUGUGACGUGAAUGUUCAGAUCCAUUAGAUUCAAAACAAUAGUUUGCUAUUGACGUGGAAACAAUAAUAAUUCAAGCAAACUAGCAAAGUAAUCAUGAACUUUCAAAAUAACAAGGCCGAAAGAAAGUUAUCCCUACAAAAGCAUAUAGUCUAGCUAUGCUCUAUCAUCAUUGCACAACGAAUUUAAAUCAUGCACAACCCCGGUGUUGGCCAAGUAAUUGUUUCACACCUUUACUUUCUCAAACAUUCUCAACUCUCACGUAAUACAUGAGUGUGAGCCAUGGUUAUAGCACUAUAGAUGGUGUGAAAUGUGGUGGAGGUUGCAAGACAAAAAGGAGAAGAUAGUCACAUUAACUAGGCAUAUCAAUGAGCUGUGGAGAUGCUCAUCAAUAGAUAUCAAUGUGAAUGAGUAGGGAUUGCCAUACAAAUGAUGCACUAGAGCUACAAGUAUGUGAAAGCUCUUAAAGAAAACUAGUGGGUGUGCAUCCAACUUGCUUGCUCACGAAGACCUAAGGCAAUUUUGAGGAAGCUUAUCAUUGAAAUAUACAAGCCAAGUUAUAUAAUGAGAAUUUCCCACUAGCUAUAUGAUGGUGAAAAAACGAGAGACUCUCAAUCAUGAAGAUUAUGGUGCGCAAUAUGCACAAGUGUGGAAAAAGUGGUAGCAUUGUCCCUUCUCUCUUUUUCUCUCAAUUUUUUUUUAUUUUGGUGGGCUCUUUGGCCUCUUUUUUAUGGGCUUCUUUGGCCUCUUUUAUUUCCUCACAUGGGACAAUGCUCCAAUAAUGAUGAUCAUCACACUUUCAACUCAAAACUUAGAGCAAUUAUGACUCUAUAUGGAAUGCCUUCGGUAGUGUACCGUGGCAAUGAUCUAGCAUGGCAUAGACAUCAAUGGAAACAUCAUGCUAGCUAUCUUACGAUCGUGCAAACGCAAUGUAUACGUGGUGGCACAUGUCAUGGUGCUAGUUGCAUGGCAAUAUAUCUUGGAAUGACUUUGCAAAAGCCAUAGUAGGUAGGUAUGGUGGCUGUUUUGAGGGAGGCUAAUGGUGGGUUUUGUGCACUGGCGAAAGUUGCGCGGCACUAAGAAGAUAGUGAUGGUGGAAGGUGAAAGUGCAUCUAAACCAUGGACUCAUCAUUAGUCAUGAAGAACUCAUAUACUUGUUGCAAAAGUUUUAUUAGUAAUCGAAACAAGGCAUUCAACGCAUACUCCUAGGGGAAGGGUUGGUAGGUAUAAUACCAUCGCGCGAUCCCGACCGCCACGCAAAGGAUGACAAUCAAAAGACUAAUCAUGCUCAGACUUCAUCACAUAGCGGUUCACCAUACGUGCAUGCUACGGGAAUCACUAACUUCAACACAAUUAUUUCUAGAUCCACAACACCUUACUAGCAUGACUUCAAUAUUACCAAAACCACAACUCAAAACUAAUUGAGAUGAAUCAAACUUCUCUAACUAUUCAAUGCACAUGAAGGUGGAAGUUUUCGUAUCCCUUUGGAUAUCUACCCCUUUUGAGACUACUUUCAAAGCAUAGAUCAACUACCAAGACACGCACCUCUGCGCUCUAAAAGAUAUAAGUGAAGCACAUAGAGCAAAAGUAUCUAGCUCAAAAGAUAUAAGUGAAGCACAUGUGAGCUGAAUUGUCUACCAAAAGAUAUAAGUGAAGCUCGACAAAAUCACGGUGAGUGCAUGUCUCUCUCUCUAGGUGUGCAGCAAGGAUGAUUGUGACACAACAAAAAUAAAAGACUCCUACGAUACAAGACUCCCCAAGCAAAAACACAUAACAUGUGGUGAAUAAAAAUAUAGCCCCAAGUAACGUUACCGAUGGAUUGAAGACGAGAGAGGGGAUGCCUUCCCGGGGCAUCCCCAAGCUUAGGCUUUUACGUCAUCCUUGAAUCUCUUGGGGUGCCUUGGGCAUCCCCAAGCUUGAGAUCUUGCCACUCUUUAUCUCUUUGUCCAUAAGAACUUCACCCAAAACUUGAAAACUUCACAACACGAAACUUAAACAGAAACUCGUGAUAACAUUAGUACAAAAAAGCAAACCACCACUUCCUUAGGUACUGUAGCAAACUUAACUUCUACUUGUGCUGAUGUUGGGUUACUGUACUUUCAAUUUUCCAUGGCUAAUAUCCCCCGAUACUAUCCAUAGUUUCAUCAAAAUAAGCAACCAACACAACAAAAACAGAAUCUGUUAACAGCAGACCAGUCUGUAGAAAUCUGUAUGUUUCAUAUAGCUCUGGUACUUCCAAAAUUCUGAAAACUUAAGACAGUCUGAAGAAUUUGCGUAGAAAUCAGCAGAAAAAAGAAUCAACUCAAAAGCUCUUACAUAAAAAAAAUAUAAAUUCUUUUCGUGAGCAGAAAGUUUCUGUCUUUUCCAGCACGACCAAACGAUCAUCCUCAAGACUAAUCAUAACGGUUUUGCUUGGCACAAACGCAAAAAGAAACACAAAAAACAUAUUCAUAACAUAAUCAUGAAAGUGUGGAAAACACAAAACAGAAAGAAAAAAGGAUAGAUUCGUUGGGUUGCCUCCCAACAAGCGCUUUUGUUUAACGCCCUUAGCUAGGCGAAAGUGAUGGAAUCACGUAUAGUCAUCUUUGGUACUCAAACCAUAAGUAGCCCUCAUCAUAGAUUCACAAGGCAAUCUUAUUUUCUUUCUAGGAAUGUGCUCCAUGCCCUUCUUUAAGGGAAAUUGAAAUCUAAUAUUCCCUUCCUUCAUAUCGAUGAUAGCACCAAUAGUCCUUAGGAAAGGUCUACCAAGAAUAAUGGGACAUGAAGGAUUGCAAUCUAUGUCAAGUACAAAGAAAUACACGGAUACAUAGUUCUUAUUUGCAACAAUAAGAACAUCAUCGAUCCUCCCCAUGGGCUUCUUGUUGGUAGAAUCCGCAAGAUGCAAAUUAAGAGAACACUCUUCAAUCUCAUGGAAACCAAGAAUAUCACAUAAAGACUUUGGAAUCGCGGAAACACUAGCACCCAAAUCACACAAAGCAUUGCACUCAUAGUUUUUUAUCUUGAUUUUGAUAGUAGGUUCCCACUCAUUUUGAAGUUUUCUAGGUAUAGAGACUUCUAGUUCGAGCUUCUCUUCAAGAGAUUUCAUCAUAGCAUCUACGAUAGAAAUGCAUUCAAACAAGGAGCAAUUAUCAUAAUUGAAUUCCUUGAAAUCCAAAGUGGGAGUUUCAUUACUACCCAAAAUUUUGACUUCUUCUACUCCACUCUCCACACCUUUAUCAUCAAGAUAGGUGGACUCCGAAUCAUCGGGGCGUUUUUCAACCAAAGUGGAUUCAUAUCCAGCCCCUCCAUAAGUAGGUUUGACAUGCGAAAACAAAGAUUCAAGAGGAGACAUACCAACCACUUUAAGAUCUUCGUGAUUUGCAUCACUAGAAUGCACCCUUUUAAACAUUCAUGUCUAGCGUGAAUUUGGACGGUUCUUUCUUUGCUCUCAUUCAUGGAGAUACGCAUAGCUUUAAAAGUUUUAUCCAAGUUGAUCUUGGGAGGAGCGCAUCUAACUUUCAAAGAAUCAAUAUCACAAGACAUCCUAUCAACGCACUUAGCCAAAUCGUCUAUUUUGAGUAGUUUUUCCUCUAUGGACGCAUUGAAAAUCUUUUGAGAGUUGAUGAACUCUUUGAUAUUACUCUCUAGAUCAGAGGGUAAUUUUUUAUGAUUUCCAUAAGUGUUGCCGUAGGAAUUGCCAUAAUUGUUAGAGGAGUUACUAGGAAAAGGCCUAGGAACAUAGUUUCCUCUAAAAGCAUUAUUGUUGCCAAAAUUGUUCCUACCAACAAAAUUCAUGUCCAAACUAGCAUUGCUACUCUCAAUCAAAGAAGAUAGUGGCAUGUCAUUAGGAUCUACGGUAGUAUUUCUACUAGCAACCAAAUUCAUCAACUCGUCCAUCUUAGCACUAAGCGAGUUAAUCUCUUCUAUAGCGUGCACCUUUUUGCUAGCAGACGACCUUUCAGUGUGCCACUGAGAGUAGUUGGUCAUGAUAUUGUCUAGGAGUUUUGUAGCGUCUCCUAACGUGAUUUACAUGAAUGUUCCACCUGAGGCGGAGUCCAAGAUAUUGCGAGAAGCGAAAUUCAAGCCAGCGUAAAAGAUUUGUAUAAUCAUCCACAAACUCAAGCCAUGAGCAGGACAAUUUCUAAUCAUAAGCUUCAUCCUCUCCCAAGAUUGUGCAACGUGUUCAUGAUCAAGUUGCUUGAAAUUCAUGAUAUCGUUAUGUAAGGAGAUGAACUUAGCCGGCGGAAAAUACUUAGAUAUGUAAGUAUCUUUGUGUUGGGUAACGUCGCAUGGGAAACAAAAAUUUUCCUACGCGCACGCCUAUCAUGGUGAUGUCCAUCUACGAGAGGGGAUGUGUGAUCUACGUACCCUUGUAGACCGUACAGCAGAAGCGUUAGUGAACGCGGUUGAUGUAGUGGAACGUCCUCACGUCCCUUGAUCCGCCCCGCGAACCGUCCCGCGAUCAGUCCCACGAUCUAAUGUCGAACGGACGGCACCUCCGCGUUCAGCACACGUACAACUCGACGAUGAUCUCGGCCUUCUUGAUCCAGCAAGAGAGACGGAGAGGUAGAAGAGUUCUCCGGCAGCAUGACGGCGCUCCGGAGGUUGGUGAUGAUAUCGUCUCGGCAGGGCUCCACCCGAGCUCCGCAGAAACGCGACCUAGAGGUAAAACCGUGGAGAUAUGUGGUCGGGCUACCGUGGCAAAGUUGUCUCAAAUCAGCCCUAAAACCUCCGUAUAUAUAGGGGGAGGAGGGGGAGCCUUGCCUUGGGGUCCAAGGACUCCCAAGGGGGUCGGCCGAGCCUAAGGGGGGAACCCUCCCCUUCCAAACCGAGUCCAACUAGGUUUGGAAGGAGGAGUCCUUCCCCCUUUCCCACCUCCUCUUUUUUUUCUCUUUGAUUUUCUUCCUAUGGCGCAUAGGGCCUUCUUGGGCUGUCCCACCAGCCCACUAAGGGCUGGUGCGCCACCCCCAAGGCCUAUGGGCUUCCCCGGGGUGGGUUGCCCCCCCCGGUGAACUCCCGGAACCCAUUCGUCAUUCCCCGUACAUUCCCGGUAACUCCGAAAACCUUACGGUAAUCAAAUGAGGUCAUCCUAUAUAUCAAUCUUCGUUUCCGGACCAUUCCAAAAACCCUCGUGACGUCCGUGAUCUCAUCCGGGACUCCGAACAACAUUCGGUAACCAACCAUAUAACUCAAAUACGCAUAAAACAACGUCGAACCUUAAGUGUGCAGACCCUGCGGGUUCGAGAACUAUGUAGACAUGACCCGAGAGACUCCUCGGUCAAUAUCCAAUAGCGGGACCUGGAUGCCCAUAUUGGAUCCUACAUAUUCUACGAAGAUCUUAUCGUUUGAACCUCAGUGCCAAGGAUUCAUAUAAUCCCGUAUGUCAUUCCCUUUGUCCUUCGGUAUGUUACUUGCCCGAGAUUCGAUCGUCAGUAUCCGUAUACCUAUUUCAAUCUCGUUUACCCGCAAGUCCCUUUACUCAUUCCGUAAUACAAGAUCCCGCAACUUACAUUAAGUCACAUUGCUUGCAAGGCUUGUGUGUGAUGUUGUAUUACCGAGUGGGCCCCGAGAUACCUCUCCGUCACACGGAGUGACAAAUCCCAGUCUCAAUCCAUACUAACUCAACGAACACCUUCGGAGAUACCUGUAGAGCAUCUUUAUAGUCACCCAGUUAUGUUGCGACGUUUGAUACACACAAAGUAUUCCUCCGGUGUCAGUGAGUUAUAUGAUCUCAUGGUCAUAGGAACAAAUACUUGACACGCAGAAAACAGUAGCAACAAAAUGACACGAUCAACAUGCUACGUCUAUUAGUUUGGGUCUAGUCCAUCACGUGUUUCUCCUAAUGACGUGAUCCAGUUAUCAAGCAACAACACCUUGUUCAUAAUCAGAAGACACUGACUAUCUUUGAUCAACUGGCUAGCCAACUAGAGGCUUGCUAGGGACAGUGUUUUGUCUAUGUAUCCACACAUGUAUUUAUGUCUUCAUUCAAUACAAUUAUAGCAUGGAUAAUAAACGAUUAUCUUGAUAUAGGAAUUAUAAUAAUAACUAUAUUUAUUAUUGCAUCUAGGGCAUAAUUCCAACACUUUGCACCUAUCCCAAGAAUCGAUACUAUUUUUAGGCAAAGAAGAAAACCAAGUUUUUGCGCGAUCUCGCAACGAGAAAGGAAAAAGUUUUAACUUAAUCACGUCAUUAUCCACAUCUCUUUUCUUUUGCAUAUCACAAAGCUCAAUGAAGGUAUUGAGAUGGGAUGCGACAUCUUCACUAGGAAGGCCAGAGAAUUGCUCUUUCAUAACAAGAUUCAGCAAAGCUGUGUUGAUUUCAUACGAUGCCACACUAGUGGCGGGAGCAAUCGGAGUACUAAUAAAAUCAUUAUUAUUAGUGCUCGAGAAGUCACAAAGUUUGGUAUUUUCAGACAUGAUGUCUUCAACAAACAAACAAGCACACAAGCAAGCAAGAAACCGGAAAAGGAAAACGGCAAGGGCAAGAGAAAACGGCGAAGGAGAAAGGCGAAUGAAAACAACAAAUGUGAAGUGGGGGAGAGGAAAACGAGAGGCAACUCGCAACAAAAGUAAAUGCAAGAGAAGAGUUUGUGAGACCUACUUGGAUAGAUCUUGAUUUCUCCUCCCCGGCAACGGCGCUAGAAAUACUUCUUGAUGUUUGCUGUGUAUCCCCGGCAACGGCGCCAGAAAUGCUUCUGAACUCCAUUGUGCUACUGCACAAAAGACCUUCUGGUGGCGCCAGAAAUGGGCACGUUCACGGCACUAGGAAUUCUUUUGCGUUGGUGUUCCCUCGAAGCGGAAAGGGUGAUGUAGCACAGCGACGGUAAGUAUUUCCCCCAGUUUGAGAACCAAGGUAUCAAUCCGGCGGAAGAGUAUCUCAAGAUCCUGCACAAACACAAAAGCUUGCACCCAGCGCUAUGAAGGGGUUGUCAAUCCCUUAUAGAUUGUUUGCCAAGUGAGAACUGAAAGCAACAAAGUAACACAACAAAGUAAAAGUGGGGUUGUAAACGAUGGAUGUGAAUAGACCCGGGGGCAUAGUAUUUACUAGUGGCUUCUCUCAUGAAAGCAAGUAGACGGAGGGUGAACAAAUUACUGUCGAGCAAUUGAUAAAACUGUGCAGAGUCGUGACGAUAUCUAUGCAAUGAUUAUUUCUAUAGGCAUCACGUCCGAAACAAGUAGACCGAUACUUUCUGCAUCUACUACUAUUACUCCACACGUCGACCGCUAUCCAGCAUGCAUAGUGUAUUAAGUCCAUAAGAACAGAGUAACGCCUUAAGCAAGAUGACAUGAUGUAGAGGGAUAAUCUCAAACCAAUGAUAAAAACCCCAUCUUUUUACCCUUGAUGGCAACUCCUUGAUGUGUGCCUUGCUACCCCUACUGUCACUGGGAAAGGUCACCACAUGGCAGAACCCAAAACCAAGCACUUCUCCCAUUGCAAGAAUCAUAGAUCUAGUUAGCCAAACAAAACCCAAGACUCGGAGAGACUUACAAGGAUAUCAAAUCAGGCAUAUAAGAAAUCAACAAAGACUCAAAUAUAUAUCAUAGAUAAUCUGAUCACAAGUCCACAAUUCAUCGGAUCUCGACAAACACACCGCCAAAGAAUAUUACAUCGGAUAGAUCUCCAUGAAGAUCAUGGAGAACUAUGUAUUGAAGAUCCAAGAGAGAGAGGAAGCUAUCUAGAUACUAACUACAGACCCGUAGGUCUGAAGUGAACUACUCACAAGUCAUUGGAGGGGCGAUGAUGAUGAUGAUGAAGCCCUCCAACUCCAAAGUCCUCUCCGGAGGGUGCCGGGAAGGGUCUCCAGAUGAGAUCUCGCGAAAACGGAAGCUUGCGGCGACGGAAAAAGUAUUUUCGAGGCUCCCCUGAUUUUUUGCGGAAUAUUUGGGAAUUUAUAGGCCAAAGAUCUAGGUCAGGGGCGGCCAGGGAGGCCACAAGCCUGCCCACGGCCGCCUCCCCCCUGGUGGCGGAGUGGGCGCUUGUGGGCUCCCUGGAGCCCACCUGGCUUGGCCCAAAAGCCCCCUGGACUUCUUCCGUUUGGGAUAAAAUCAUUUUGGGGUUUUUCUUCCGUUUGGACUCUGUUCCAAAAUCAGAUCUGAAAAGAGUCAAAAACAUGGAAAAAAUAGUAACUGGCACUUGGCACUGAAUUAAUAAGUUAGUCCCAAAAAGAUAUAAAAAGGUAUAUAAAACAUACAAAGAAGGCAAGACAACAGCGUGAAAUCAUCAAAAAUUAUAGAUACGUUUGAGAUGUAUCAGGGGCCGGCCGGCUUACCGGAGCGGGAGAGGGGAAGGGGGCUUACCGCAGGAGGGGAGGGGGGCGGCGGCGACGACGACGACGACGGCGAGGGAGGCGGCGACGACGACGAC
Molecule: long non-coding RNA, 32950 nt
Filed under: Hordeum vulgare
Lineage: Eukaryota; Viridiplantae; Streptophyta; Magnoliopsida; Poales; Poaceae
Description: long non-coding RNA (HVUL_LNC006383)
Rfam family: MIR1120/MIR1122 microRNA precursor family (bases 8230-8362)
Source: RNAcentral